CCGCGUGAGGGAUGACGGCCUUCGGGUUGUAAACCUCUUUCAGUAGGGAAGAAGCGAAAGUGACGGUACCUGCAGAAGAAGCGCCGGCUAACUACGUGCCAGCAGCCGCGGUAAUACGUAGGGCGCAAGCGUUAUCCGGAAUUAUUGGGCGUAAAGAGCUCGUAGGCGGUUUGUCGCGUCUGCCGUGAAAGUCCGGGGCUCAACUCCGGAUCUGCGGUGGGUACGGGCAGACUAGAGUGAUGUAGGGGAGACUGGAAUUCCUGGUGUAGCGGUGAAAUGCGCAGAUAUCAGGAGGAACACCGAUGGCGAAGGCAGGUCUCUGGGCAUUAACUGACGCUGAGGAGCGAAAGCAUGGGGAGCGAACAGGAUUAGAUACCCUGGUAGUCCAUGCCGUAAACGUUGGGCACUAGGUGUGGGGGACAUUCCACGUUUUCCGUACCGUAGCUAACGCAUUAAGUGCCCCGCCUGGGGAGUACGGCCGCAAGGCUAAAACUCAAAGGAAUUGACGGGGGCCCGCACAAGCGGCGGAGCAUGCGGAUUAAUUCGAUGCAACGCGAAGAACCUUACCAAGGCUUGACAUGAACCGGAAACGCCUGGAAACAGGUGCCCCGCUUGCGGUCGGUUUACAGGUGGUGCAUGGUUGUCGUC
RNAcentral lists this ribosomal RNA (648 nucleotides) under Pseudarthrobacter phenanthrenivorans. Its description in RNAcentral is "bacterial SSU rRNA". It matches the Rfam family "Bacterial small subunit ribosomal RNA", at positions 397 to 1056 of the family's 1533-position model. The record is from RNAcentral. Lineage: Bacteria; Bacillati; Actinomycetota; Actinomycetes; Micrococcales; Micrococcaceae.